This is a non-coding RNA of Caenorhabditis elegans, 225 nucleotides long. NCBI's taxonomy places the organism in Eukaryota, Metazoa, Nematoda, Chromadorea, Rhabditida, Rhabditidae. The record is from Ensembl.
CAUGUGACUAGCGAUCCUCUUCGGGGUUGAUUGUUUUUCUUAGUGGAGCAUCGGGGGCUUUCUAAAAAGUUGACUCCGGUCCACCUUGUCGUAUACCAACAGUCUGUGUGGCCCUCUACCGCUAUUUGAGAUGCCCGGGCUGGAUUGCAUAUUCCUUAUCCUUCCGUAGAUCCUAUGGGUCCGUGACGGUUAGGACAAACCAUGCAAAUUACAAAUAUCCUAAAA